Molecule: ribosomal RNA, 292 nt
Filed under: uncultured Verrucomicrobiota bacterium
Lineage: Bacteria; Pseudomonadati; Verrucomicrobiota
Description: uncultured Verrucomicrobia bacterium partial 16S ribosomal RNA
Source: RNAcentral
GGACUACCAGGGUUUCUAAUCCUGUUUGCUCCCCUAGCUUUCGUGCCUCAGUGUCAGGAGAUGUCCAGGGACUCGCCUUCGCCACUGGUGUUCCUCUCGAUAUCUACGCAUUUCACUGCUACACCGAGAAUUCCAGUCCCCCCUCCAUUCCUCCAGCCAGGUAGUUUCCAAUGCCAUUUCGGAGUUGAGCUCCGAGCUUUCACAUCCGACUUACCCGACCACCUACGCACCCUUUACGCCCAGUGAAUCCGAACAACGCUUGGGACCUCUGUAUUACCGCGGCGGCUGGCAC